GUGAACUGGGUCAGCAUCCCUCUUCUGCCUCUUGCACGGACAUGAAACCGAGUGGGAGAAGAUCCGCAAGAUCUUCUUUCAGAUUCUUCAUCGUCUCCACUGGAAUCUCCUUUUCAUAUCAUUAUUUGACUCAUUCAUCUCUGAAGAUAGAGUUCCAAGUUCUGUCUCAAUGACUGGUGAAUACUUUUGACCUUUUGAUAUUUGCUUGCUCUGUAAAGAGGAGAUAAAGGUGGAGAAAGACAGUGCCUGAUCCCUUCCAGCUGGACCAGAUGUAUGGACAGAAAAUGAUGUUUCUCAUUAUUUUUGUUUUUCAUGUUAUCCUACGGCACUUCUUGGCAUUUGGGUGUUUUUGAUAUUGCAGGAGCACCUGGCUUGAUUUUACUAAAGCAGGAGUAGUAAAAACUAUUUUUGUGCACAGAGCAUGGGAAACUUAGCAUACAUCUCUUGCAUUUGCUAUACUUUUUACCUUUAAAUUAGGAUUAAUAAAAAUACUGUGAAAUAAAAGUAUACAUAAGUAUUGUUUUCACACAGUUUAUUGUAGAUGCUGAAAGUAGUUACCAUUUUUUCUUAGUUAUUGGACUGUAGACUGAUCAUUCUGGUGCUGAACUCUUCUCUGGUUAAAAUGCAGCUUGUGGUUUUAUUUUUCUCAGCCUGGGCCAUCAAAGCACUGUGUUUUAGAUAUAGGAUAUUGAUAACUGAGUGAGCUUUUUAAUCAUAAAGGUUUCUUUUGAAAGUUGGCUGUGGAACAGCAAUAUAAAAUAACUUUAAAUGUACAGAAGAGAUAUCUCUGCUUUCUAACAUUAAAAGGCAAAAUGCCAUACAAAUGCUGAAUUACUAUUUUGUUAGCUUAAAAUGUAUAGAUUUGACAAUUAAGUCUCAGUAAUUUUAUAACCUUGUACGUUUUGUAAUUGCCAGCUAGCCUGCCACCUGCUCUCUUCUGCCUUGGAUCUUCCCACAUCUGUGCUGCUUUGAAAUCUGAGUAUGCUUUUUCUUCAGUAGCAAAUAAUGUGGUGCUUGUUCUAAUCCUCAGGGUUCCAGCAAGAUGUCAUAUGACAGAUUACCUGAAUACAGUUUCCAGGCUUUUAAAAAAUGUUAAUUUCUUAAGCAAGCAGUUUGUAUCUUAGCAGGAUUAAGGUGCUGUGUAAACCAGAUGUUUUAAUAAAUUGGUCUUUGAAGGGAAGGGUUAUUCUCUUCCGGUGUGCAGCCUGAGGUCAUUUAGUUUUGAAAUAAUUUAUUUUCUCUUUCUAAGCAAUGAAGCAAAUAUGCCAUUUGAAAAGUGUGUCUGGAUUCUAAUGCUCUUCUAUUCUUGGGACAGGUACAAGUAAGCAGCUAGCAGUCUGAGUUUCCUCAUAGUGUCUAGCUAGUGGGCCUUAAUCCUGACUCAGAAGGAUUACUGUAGGUCUAGAAAGUAAAUCUCUCUGUGUUCCCAGUGAAUUUAAGGCUCUGUAUUGAGACUGCCAGCAACCAUACAUGUUAGUGUCAGUUACGAAGCUAUUCAUUGGAGCUAGUCUAAGUUCAUAAUACAUUUUAACCUGAGCUCCAAAUUCUCAUCAAAUGGUGAUGACUUUGAGUUGCUAUUGAUCUGGGCUAUAUUGAAUUUAGUAACCCUGAGGUGAAAAUCUCAGUAUUCUAUUACCAAACUCUUAAAAAUGUAGUGUUACUGAAAAGAUGCUUCAUUAAAAAAAAAAAAAAUCAAAUCUUCAUUAGAGUGUUACUGAAAGUGUUAAGAGUUCAGACUUUCCUGUGGAUUUUUAUGCUUAGUCUCACUGCAAAUAUCGCAGACUCAGCCUAAGCAGAAUAUUGGGGUUUGCAUAUUGAAAAAACUCUACAGUUUAUGUCACAUAGGCUACUCCUACAGUUGGCAUAUUUACAUUACAGUUAUUACUAUGAAUGAAAAAUUAUACAUGUGCUUUUAAAAAUAAGUGUUUAAAUCUACCUAUUUUCUUUGGCUCCUGUCCGAGGUCAGUGGACAGGUAUGGAACAACGUAUGUAUUUUUCUUCUGUGCAACAGAAUUCUAGUGAUAAAAUAUUGAUAACAGUUAAAAUGAUGGAAUCAUUUAGGUUUGAAAAGACCCCUCUAGAUCAUCAAGUCCAACUGUUAACUAAGCACCACCAUGUUCACCGCUAAGCCACGUCUAAGUGCCAUGUCUGUGUGCCUUUUGAACAGUUUCAAGAACAGUGAUUCCACUGCUUCCUGGUACAGCCUGUUCCAAACUUGACCACUCUUUUAGUGAAGAAAUUUUUCCUAGUAUCCAAUCUAAAACUCCUCUGGUGCAACAUGAGGCCAUUUUCUCUUGUCCUGUUGCUUGUUACCUGGGAAAAGAGACUGACCCCCACCUCACUACAACCUCCUUUUGGGUAAUUGUAGAGGGUGAUAAGAUCUACCCUGAGCCUCCUUUUCUCCAAGCUAAACACUCCCAGCUCCCUCAGCUGUUCCUCAUCAGA
This is a long non-coding RNA of Corvus hawaiiensis (hawaiian crow), 2445 nucleotides long. RefSeq lists it as uncharacterized. The transcript is spliced from 3 exons. Lineage: Eukaryota; Metazoa; Chordata; Aves; Passeriformes; Corvidae. The record is from RefSeq and is a predicted model, not a curated record.